Molecule: transfer RNA, 74 nt
Filed under: Tetrastes bonasia (hazel grouse)
Lineage: Eukaryota; Metazoa; Chordata; Aves; Galliformes; Phasianidae
Description: tRNA-Ile
Source: RNAcentral
GGCAGCGUGCCUGAAUAACCAAAGGAUCACUAUGAUAAAGUGAACAUAGAGGUAUAACAGUCCUCUCGCUUCCU